RNAcentral lists this ribosomal RNA (538 nucleotides) under uncultured bacterium. Its description in RNAcentral is "bacterial SSU rRNA". It matches the Rfam family "Bacterial small subunit ribosomal RNA", at positions 355 to 895 of the family's 1533-position model. The record is from RNAcentral.
UGAGGAAUAUUGGUCAAUGGGCGCAAGCCUGAACCAGCCAAGUAGCGUGCAGGAAGACGGCCCUAUGGGUUGUAAACUGCUUUUAUACGAGAAUAAUUUGAUGCACGUGUGCGUUAUUGCAUGUAUCGUAUGAAUAAGGACCGGCUAAUUCCGUGCCAGCAGCCGCGGUAAUACGGAAGGUCCAGGCGUUAUCCGGAUUUAUUGGGUUUAAAGGGAGUGUAGGCGGUUUGUUAAGCGUGUUGUGAAAUUUAGGUGCUCAACAUUUAACUUGCAGCGCGAACUGUCAGACUUGAGUACACGCAACGUAUGCGGAAUUCAUGGUGUAGCGGUGAAAUGCUUAGAUAUCAUGAAGAACUCCGAUUGCGAAGGCAGCAUACGGGAGUGUAACUGACGCUUAAGCUCGAAGGUGCGGGUAUCGAACAGGAUUAGAUACCCUGGUAGUCCGCACAGUAAACGAUGGAUGCCCGCUGUUAGCGCCUGGCGUUAGCGGCUAAGCGAAAGCAUUAAGCAUCCCACCUGGGGAGUACGCCGGCACGGU